Molecule: ribosomal RNA, 253 nt
Filed under: uncultured bacterium
Lineage: Bacteria
Description: partial 16S ribosomal RNA
Rfam family: Bacterial small subunit ribosomal RNA
Source: RNAcentral
UACAGAGGUCUCAAGCGUUGUUCGGAUUCAUUGGGCGUAAAGGGUGCGUAGGCGGCGCGGUAAGUCGGGUGUGAAAUCUCGGAGCUUAACUCCGAAACUGCAUUCGAUACUGCCGUGCUUGAGGACUGGAGAGGAGACUGGAAUUUACGGUGUAGCGGUGAAAUGCGUAGAUAUCGUAAGGAAGACCAGUGGCGAAGGCGGGUCUCUGGACAGUGCCUGACGCUGAGGCACGAAGGGCAGGGGAGCAAACGGG